CAACCUUGCUUUCUACUCUUGUUAAUGUUGCUUAAUUUUCUUCUCGUUCUUGUGGUAUGAUGAUGGUAUCAUUCUGUUUUUCUUCUAUUAUAUGCCUUUAUCAUUGAUGCUUGAAAGCCGUGUUUUUCCGUGCUUUGCAUGAUCUUUUUGUGGCGUUUCUGCGUGUUCCUUGUGGCCGUUUUCGGUUUCUGGAUAUAGGGAUGGUGGUUCUUUGGUUUCAAUCUUUGCCUCAGUCUCGAGUAGUCCAGGUUUCUUUUCCUUGUUCAUGUUAAGUGGUUAUGUGUUAGAUAGAGAAGGGGUUGGUCCAUUUGUCUCGAUUUUCUUUGGUUGGAAUGUGUGGGUUUUGUGUAUGAUUCAUGGUGGAUGAGUGCAGCAUGGUGGAGUGCUUUCAUGUUAUACGUAACAGCCCUAAGUUAAGGUAUAAGAAACUUUAAAGUCUGGGAUGGAAUGGGGCACUUUGGAGAGAAGCAGAAAUUUCGUCAGGGUGUUGGGUUGCAAAGGAGGGCCAUACAAAAGUGUAUGGGUCGCGACUUUGGAUAUCACUUAGGUAUUUGCAGUGUUGAGUUGAGUGGAGUUGUAUUCUCCAAGUGUUUUUCUUUUCCGUUUCAUUAAUUGAUGUUUUUAGGUGGAGGUUUUAUGUGUGGGCAUAAGCCAAACUAGCUUAAGAUGUAGGAAACUUUUAGCUUUGAUGGGAUGUAUAUGUUAGGGGUAGCAAGGGUUUUUUUGUUGGUUUUAUUAAUGGGUCAUGGUUUCUCAUGUUUUAUGAAAUGUGUGGUUGGUGUAUGGAUGGGUUCACAUGUUUUGUUCUUUUCUCUCAAGUUUUUGGAGUGCUUUCAUGAUAUACAUGCAAAAUUUUAUGCUCCUUCCUUCCUUUUCUAUUUAACAUUACGUAAAUACAUUUUAUAGCAUUGUGGGUAGUUUAGUUUUUGUCUUUUAGCAUGAUUGGGAGCAGCUUUACGAAACUGAAAUCGUCACAUGCACAUUCAAUUCUUUCUUUUCUCUUUCUUCUCUCAUUCCAUUUAUAGGUGACACGUAAAUGCAAGGUAUGUAGGGGUCACGGGUUUGUUUUGUCUCUUUCCUUUAAACCAUUCAUGUGACUUUUUGAGGGAGGGGUAUCCUUUAAAUGAAUUGGUGCAGACCGUGCCAUGUUUUCUUCCUUUCUCUUUUGGAUUCGUUUUUUUGUCAUUAAAGGAUACAAAAUCCUUAGUUUUUCCUCUUGUUGUCAUGCGUGAAAGGAAUAGGUGCAGCGGAAUUAGAAAUGACACGUACGACGGUAAUGCAGAUAUUUCUGACUCGAAGUAGAUAUCGGAAAGGAUGGAGUGGACUCGGGGAUUUAUGGCUUAUUUUGUUGAUUUAAAUCAAACAGUGAAGACUAUGAAAUUUUCUUUUAAUUUCUAGUAUUUAGUUGGAACUUUGGUUAUUUAAUAUUAUUAUUAUUUCAAAUUAA
Long non-coding RNA from Vigna unguiculata (cowpea), 1447 nucleotides. RefSeq lists it as uncharacterized. The record is from RefSeq and is a predicted model, not a curated record. Lineage: Eukaryota; Viridiplantae; Streptophyta; Magnoliopsida; Fabales; Fabaceae.